RNAcentral lists this ribosomal RNA (253 nucleotides) under uncultured bacterium. RNAcentral describes it as "partial 16S ribosomal RNA". It matches the Rfam family "Bacterial small subunit ribosomal RNA", at positions 524 to 776 of the family's 1533-position model. The record is from RNAcentral.
UACGGGGGGGGCAAGCGUUGUUCGGAAUUACUGGGCGUAAAGGGUUCGUAGGUGGCUUGUUAAGUCAGACGUGAAAUCCCUCGGCUCAACCGGGGAACUGCGUCUGAGGCUGAUGAGCUUGAGUGCAGGAGAGGAACGCGGAAUUCCAGGUGUAGCGGUGAAAUGCGUAGAUAUCCGGAAGAACACCGAUGGCGAAGGCAACCACCUGGGCCUGCAUUGACGCUGAGGUACGAAAGCGUGGGGAGCAAACAGG